This 26-nucleotide non-coding RNA is filed under the name Rattus norvegicus (Norway rat). The record is from RNAcentral. Lineage: Eukaryota; Metazoa; Chordata; Mammalia; Rodentia; Muridae.
UGGUAAUCUGUAACCUGGACAGGAAA